Molecule: long non-coding RNA, 1196 nt
Filed under: Homo sapiens (human)
Lineage: Eukaryota; Metazoa; Chordata; Mammalia; Primates; Hominidae
Description: long non-coding RNA NONHSAT179917.1
Source: RNAcentral
UCAUGCAAAAAGGGCACUACCCUAAGAUUUAACAUUUUUUCUCUUUCUCUUUUACCUGCUGGAUCUUGGGUGAACUGCGUUGUAUUGGUCUUUUUACAGAUGCAUUAGAGGAUUUUGGUCAAUUGGACCAAUCUAGAGGAUAACGGCUGUUCAGCUUCAAGAACAGGAGACUCUCAAGACAUAAAAGUAUGAUACAUGAGUUAAUUUGGUAAAGACAGAGAAUCAACAGGUAUGCAAAGACGGCCGUCCCUUUAUGAUGCAAUAUGUCUGCGCCCAGGGGACGCUUGCUGGGAGCAGCCAUUUUCAACCCUACUGCCGUAGAGCAGGCGGAGUCCCUCUUUUCGCGCCUUAAGACAGGGCUAUAAAAUCUCAAGGAAUCAAAUGACAAGGAUUUACAGUUAAUAAGCCAACAAAGGAGACAAUAUGUAAUAUAAACACACUCAGCUACUCUAAGGGAAAGCAGAAAAAGAAGAAAAGGAGAACAAAGAAGACAUAGAAUAAACAACAAAUAGAAGAGAAACAGGGUGAUCCCUAUGGACUUUCAGAACAUGCAAGCAGAACACGUGGUCCUCUCCACACAGCUCUGCCACUGAACACAAAAUGAUCCUCUGACAAGUGAUGAAGAAGAAUGGGAAGAUGUGAAAAUCCAAGCAAGAAGAACUUAGGGGAAGCAACUCAACAUCUAAGAAGAAAUGAAUAGGGAUCAGUUCCAAGAAGAGAUAAAGGGGCGAAGGAAGAUUAUGCCUCUUCCUGUGGGACCAGAGACGGGCCUGAGGAUCUGCCAUUUGAAAUACCCAAGAACUGGGAUGCUUCGUCUUUGGUUUCUUCUGGAUCCUCCCUAAAUUUUGGCUAAGAAAUCUGAGUCUCCAUUUAAGAGUGUUCCCAGAAAUGAUGACAUCCACAUCCAGGAACCUCCUCCUUCCUUCAUUUGAACUCUCUUGCUUCUGGGGAGCCAGGACCUAUGGAGUAAAAAUCAAGUUCAUUUGGUGACACAUUCCCUCCGGGCCCAGAUGCUGUCUCUGCUGCUGUAAACUCUCCUGCAGUCAAGGCCAAGCAAUAUAUCUAAGCAUCCCUUUGUCAGGUGUCCCCAAGUCUUUACAUCCCAGGGCAAUAAAACAACACUCUGAAUGUGGGGAGUCAUAUGGCAGUGGGCUUAACCAGGAGCCGGCAUAUCUGGCCACUUUCCAAUGCUUCAA